This is a long non-coding RNA of Ailuropoda melanoleuca (giant panda), 1221 nucleotides long. RefSeq lists it as uncharacterized. The record is from RefSeq and is a predicted model, not a curated record. The transcript has 4 exons. Lineage: Eukaryota; Metazoa; Chordata; Mammalia; Carnivora; Ursidae.
UCGGCGCCCAGUUCCACGCUGCUGUAGUUGUCCGGCACGAGGACGGCGGCCACCGCGCGGACCUGCGCGCCGUCCAGGGGCCCGUCCUGGGAGUGCACGCCCAGCAGUACCGACCACUCGGUCUCGGGCUCCAAGAUCUUCAGGUUCCUCCUGCGUGGGACCGGCAGCUGGGAGUUGGAGGGUAAAGCAAGGAAGGUACUGAACCCAGGAGUCCUGCUUUCCGGCUCCCCAGAUACUAGGACCCAGGCCAUCUUCUGUCCCCUGAAGUUACCGAGGAUCACAAGUGGAAGGAGCAGGUGCUGGGACAUGGCACAUUUGAGUCAGCUGGAGGCACGGAGGAAAGCUCUACACCCAACGUGCGGCUGGAACUCACAACCCUAAGAUCAAGAGUCGAAAUUCCUGGAGUUUCUAAGUCUCCCCGGACACUCAUUUGCAGGCAUUUGCCCCUCCAAUGAUGAAGACCCAGUCGUGUAUACAACACACACUCAGAAAAAGGAGGCAAUGGGCAAACAAAGGCGGGAAAGAAGAGAGAGGGUGUAGGUUGGUUAAACCAAAACAUGGUGCCACGAACACCCUCCCCUACCCCGUUUGCUGCAAUUCCGUAGUUCUCAAACAUUUCGGUUUCAGGACCUCCUUACGUUCUUAAAUAUUAUUGAGGGAUCCAAAGGGUUUUUGCUCUCGUGGGUUAUAUCUAUCAGUAUUUACUGCCUUGGAAAUGAAAACUCAGAGACACUUAAAAUUACUUAUUAAUUCGCUAAAAAAUUAGUCUGUUACAUGUUAAUGAGGGUAACAUAUUUUUUAUGAAAACGAUAUAAAAAAUAGUGAAAAGAAUGACAUUGUUUUGAAAGUGAAAAGAGCAGACGUUUUUGCAAACCUCCCUGCUGUCUGGAUGACUAGACUACAGCUGGAUUCUCAGAUCCGCUUUUGCAGCCAGCCUUCUGGAAUAUCCCUAGUCAAGUAGCCUUGGAAAGCUGUAUGGUACACUUGACAUCAUGAAAAUAGUUUUGGCCUUGGGCAGCCCUUGAAAGGGUUUUGGAAACCCUUUCAGGAGUUCCCAGGUGAGGGGCGUCUGGAUGGCUCAGUCGAAGCGGCUGCCUUCAGCUCAGGUCAGGAUUCCAGGGUCCUGGGAUGAGCCCCGCGAGAGUGGGUUGGGGUGUCUUUCCUCAGCGGGGAGUCUGCUUCUCUCUCUCCUUUUGCCUGCUGGUCCACCUGCUUGUUCUC